Non-coding RNA from Caerostris extrusa, 76 nucleotides. The record is from the annotation of a GenBank genome assembly. Lineage: Eukaryota; Metazoa; Arthropoda; Arachnida; Araneae; Araneidae.
UGAGCAGACUGGCGCAGUGAAAGCGUGCUGGGCUUAUAUCCCAGAGGUCCGUGGAUCGAAACUCCACUCUGUUGAU